GGUGUCUGAAAUGAGAUGAAAAGAGAGCUCUGGGAAUGGAAUCAAUCAGGUGACCUGGGUUCAAGGCCCUGUGUGAGUAACCCCACUGGGCCUCAGUUUCUUCAAGCGUAAAACAGAGAUAAUGCCAGCCACCCAGAGUGGGACCUAAGUGAUGCAACCUAAGUGAUAGUGCUUUACAAAUGAGAAGAAUUGGCUGACCCCUUCCAGAGGGCAAGGACAGCAGACCACAGGACUGGGGAAUGGAGUCAGACUUUAGGAGGGACUUCCUGGCCUGGGGAAGGUAGAGCUGGGGAGGAGAAUUUUUUGAGGGUGACGGUCAGCAUGGCAUUGAAGUGAGGAAAGCCUGUGCUGUAGCCCCCAGCUGGCUGUCGGGGUCCCUGGGUUCUGCAGGCCAGAGUAGAGCAUCAUUUAUUGGGGGUGUCUUGCCCGGCACACCUCACUGGAUGCAGAGGCAAAAGCAUGUGCUUUGGAGUCAGAGGGUCCAAGGCUGAAAUCUUGGUUCAGUCUCUUCCCUGCUGUGUAGCCUUGGACACAUCAGCUACCUUAGAGCCCUCAGUUUCUUCAUCUGUAAAACGGGCUCAUCAGGCUUUGCUUGUCAGGUUUGCAUGGCUCUUGGCGAGUGUUGAACACGUGAGUUUCCAAGUCCCUUCUCUCUUUAAGUAGCCUCAGUUUCCCCAUUUUCAAAGAACGGGGGUUAGACUAAAUAAAUGAUCUAUCAGAUUCAGUCCUAACAUGCAGAAACAAGCCAUGAUUAUCAUCUAUGUUUUCCAGUCGCGUCCAGUGAGUCAGUCCCCAACAGCAGCUUGACUGAGUGGGAGUUCUCUUAGGUGCUGGAGGAUGAGGAAGGAGGGUGUUACAGAAGCCCUGACCCUCAGAGAGAAGCCUGCCAAUCUGCUUUCUCCCACAGGAGGGCCUUGUUACAGCCCAGAGAUAGCCUCUGACUGAGCCUGGGCGUCACUGCUGUAGACCCCAUUGGCUGGCUAAGGCUGGAGGCAGAUCUGGGACUGGGGCCGGGCCUCGGGAGCUUGGCUACAGCAGCUGGGAGCAGAGAAGCCCCACCCGCUCAAGCCCAUGUGUUUCUCUUCCUGAGGAAGCAAAAAGAAAGACUUAAAAGAUUUAGACCUCAAGGGGAAAAAAGAGAAGAGAAUUGGAACCCAAAUCCACAUCUGGCCUGACAAUAUGUCUAACCCUAAGCUCUCUGCCCACCGAGGUGCAGGGUUGGAGGGCGAGGGGGCGGGGGGGAGGGCGGUGCGCCAGGGGCGGGAGAGCAGCUGGUUGCUCCCUCCGAGCUGCCUUUCUGGUGACAUCACUGACAGCAGAGGCGGCGCCCACGUGGGGCAGGGCUGACCGCAUCUGGAUCCACCCAGAGUGAGGAAGGAGAAAGGAUGGGGCUUCUGAAGGGAGCCGCGGUUCCUGCUUUGACUCAGCUGGGAACCUCUCAGGACCUCUUCUCCCCUAUUGUGAGUAAGCCUCCUCUGCGGGGAAAGGGUGAAGAGGCUGCUCUCCAGCCCGGCUGCUGGCAGCUGGUUUCCCUGCUCUCCCACUGAUUGGUGAUGUUCUCAUCUGUUAAAUCGGAAGAAGAGCAUUUGCUUCAUAGGAUCUCUGGGAAGAUUCAAAGAGACAAUGCAGGGACCACUAAGGCCAAGAGACCUCAAGCCACAUACCCAGUGGAAGAGCCAGGAUGCAUAUUCACGGGCUGGCCCCAGAGUCUGUGUUCUUAACCACUACCUUAUGUAUAAAUAAAUCCCUGUGGAUAUAUUGUGUUGCUGUGCUCAAAAUGCUCUAGUGAUGGGAAUCCAUGAUUUAAAAGUGUGGGGACUACCGCCCUG
This is a long non-coding RNA of Aethalodelphis obliquidens (Pacific white-sided dolphin), 1829 nucleotides long. RefSeq lists it as uncharacterized. NCBI's taxonomy places the organism in Eukaryota, Metazoa, Chordata, Mammalia, Artiodactyla, Delphinidae. The transcript is spliced from 3 exons. The record is from RefSeq and is a predicted model, not a curated record.